This 1181-nucleotide long non-coding RNA is filed under the name Zonotrichia albicollis (white-throated sparrow). RNAcentral describes it as "lncRNA (ENSZALG00000004448.1)". Lineage: Eukaryota; Metazoa; Chordata; Aves; Passeriformes; Passerellidae. The record is from RNAcentral.
GGGAGCGGGGGGCCGGAGCACCCCAAGAGUUUUCCCAAUUCCCAAAACUUUCCCUUUUUCCCAACACACCCCCCCCUCCCCAAAAUCAUAAACCCAAACCUGUCCAACUACGGGGGUGCCAUGGAUUUGGGGUCUCCCCCUUUAUUUUUAGGUGCUAGGACCCCAAACAGGGUGCUGGCACCCCAUAAUCAAUGUAGGGAUUUGGGGGGAAUGAUUAAACCCCAUCUCCCACCCCUCAAAUUCCAUGGGAUGCUCCUGCCCCCACCGUGCCCAAAACACCCCCAAACCUCUCAAAUUACGGGGGCGCCAUGAAUUUGGGGUUUCCCCUUUUAUUUUUAGGUGCUAGGACCCCAAACAGGGUGCUAGCACCCCAUAACCAAUGAAGAGAUUAGGGGGAAAGGCUGAAACCCAUCUCCCACCCCCCAAAUUCCAUGAGGGCGCAAUUCCAUGGGAUGCUCCUGCCCCCACCGUACCCAAAACACCCCCAAACCUCUCAAAUUAGGGGACGCCAUGAAUUUGGGGUCUCCCCCUUUAUUUCUGGGUGCUAGGACCCCAAACAGGGUGCUAGCACCCCAUAACCAACGCAUGAAUUUAGGGGGAAAGGACUGAACCCCAUCUCCCACCCCCCAAAUUCCAAGGGGGCGCAAUUCCAUGGGAUGCUCCCGCCCCCACCGCGCCACGGGGGGGUGUGGGCGAUGCUGUCACCCCCCAAAAAAAGCCCCAAAAGGGGGUGUCACCUGGAGGGCGGCGUUGUCCAAGACGUCCAUCUGGAUGUCCUGCGUGGAGCUUAUGCUCCGGCUCCAGAAGAGGUUGGCCUCCAGCGUGCUGCGCUGCGGGAAGAAGAAGGUGUGGCUUGAUCCCAACGAGACCAACGAGAUCGCCAAUGCCAACUCCCGUACGUGGGGGGAUCUGUGGGAUCCAGGAGGGAACAGAGGUUGUGGGGAGCUCGGUAAUGGUGGAGUCGGUUUAGGUUGGUGAAGUCAGUGAGUGUGGGAAAGGUCUCCCAAAAGCAUUUGGUUCAGGGAUUGGUUUAGGUGAAAUUCAGCAGAUUCUUUGGAGGUUAAAGUGAGGAUUUUCAGGAUUUGCACUGAGGAGGUGCCUGGUGGUUCUGAGAUAGUGAGUGAGGGAAUUGGGAUUGUUGGAAGUUCAGUGGGAGAAACGGGGGAAAACAAGCAGGGCUG